Molecule: ribosomal RNA, 420 nt
Filed under: bacterium
Lineage: Bacteria
Description: partial 16S ribosomal RNA
Rfam family: Bacterial small subunit ribosomal RNA
Source: RNAcentral
UGGGGGAUAUUGCACAAUGGGCGAAAGCCUGAUGCAGCGACGCCGCGUGGGGGAUGAAGGCUUUCGGGUUGUAAACCUCUUUCGCUAUCGAACAAGGCCCGCUUAGGGUGGGUUGAGGGUAGGUGGAGAAGAAGCGCCGGCUAACUACGUGCCAGCAGCCGCGGUAAUACGUAGGGCGCGAGCGUUGUCCGGAAUUAUUGGGCGUAAAGGGCUUGUAGGCGGCUUGUUGCGCCUGCUGUGAAAACGCGGGGCUUAACUUCGCGCGUGCAGUGGGUACGGGCAGGCUUGGGUGUGGUAGUGGUGACUGGAAUUCCAGGUGUAGCGGUGGAAUGCGCAGAUAUCUGGAGGAACACCGAUGGCGAAGGCAGGUCACUGGGCCAUUACUGACGCUGAGGAGCGAAAGCAUGGGUAGCGAACAGG